UCUUUGAUAAUCCUCUCCUUUAUGAUUAUCACUCAUAAUCUUUCAUUCUUCUUUACAAAAUCAAUACUGCCUUAAAUUAUAACUCACAUAUUUGUAAUCCUAAAACUGGUUCUUUUCACGUUCUCAUUCAACUUAUAAUUCCAUCUCCUAUACAAUCAAUUUCUAACAUUCCAUAUUGUUAUCAUUUCCUCAACAACAAUGCCAAAAUAUUGUUCUUGUUGUAUUCAAGCUUCAGUAUACUAAAACAAUUGAACUAAUACAAGUGGGUUUGAACAUGAGGAAAGAAUAGUUAUAUGAAUUGGAUCUAUUAGUGUCACAAUCGACUGUACUAUAGCUAUCUAAAAUCAAUUAUCAAACUACAAAAUACCAAGGCUUAUUACUUCCAUCUUUAUUCAACACAUAAUCCAUUCUAUGACUAUGAAUUCAACAAUACUUCUCUCAAUCACAAUUCUUCAUAAGCAAAUAAUAAAAGCAAAGAAAACAAAGAGGUAGCACCAAACUUACCUCAACUUACGACUCUCAUAAUCUGGCUCUC
This 535-nucleotide long non-coding RNA is filed under the name Physcomitrium patens. RNAcentral describes it as "long non-coding RNA (PPAT_LNC008936)". Lineage: Eukaryota; Viridiplantae; Streptophyta; Bryopsida; Funariales; Funariaceae. The record is from RNAcentral.